RNAcentral lists this ribosomal RNA (492 nucleotides) under uncultured bacterium. Its description in RNAcentral is "partial 16S ribosomal RNA". It matches the Rfam family "Bacterial small subunit ribosomal RNA", at positions 29 to 507 of the family's 1533-position model. The record is from RNAcentral.
AGUGAGCGCUGGCGGUAGGCCUAACACAUGCAAGUCGAACGGCAGCACAGUAAGAGCUUGCUCUUACGGGUGGCGAGUGGCGGACGGGUGAGGAAUACAUCGGAAUCUACUUUUUCGUGGGGGAUAACGUAGGGAAACUUACGCUAAUACCGCAUACGACCUACGGGUGAAAGCAGGGGAUCUUCGGACCUUGCGCGAUUGAAUGAGCCGAUGUCGGAUUAGCUAGUUGGCGGGGUAAAGACCCACCAAGGCGACGAUCCGUAGCUGGUCUGAGAGGAUGAUCAGCCACACUGGAACUGAGACACGGUCCAGACUCCUACGGGAGGCAGCAGUGGGGAAUAUUGGACAAUGGGCGCAAGCCUGAUCCAGCCAUACCGCGUGGGUGAAGAAGGCCUUCGGGUUGUAAAGCCCUUUUGUUGGGAAAGAAAAGCAGCAGGUUAAUACCCCGCCGUUCUGACGGUACCCAAAGAAUAAGCACCGGCUAACUUCGUG